UACAGAGGUCUCAAGCGUUGUUCGGAUUCAUUGGGCGUAAAGCGCACGUAGGCGGAUUCUUAAGUCAGGGGUGAAAUCCUGGAGCUCAACUCCAGAACUGCCUUUGAUACUGGGAGUCUCGAGUCCGGGAGAGGUGAGUGGAACUGCGAGUGUAGAGGUGAAAUUCGUAGAUAUUCGCAAGAACACCAGUGGCGAAGGCGGCUCACUGGCCCGAUACUGACGCUGAGGCACGAAAGCGUGGGGAGCAAACAGG
This 253-nucleotide ribosomal RNA is filed under the name uncultured bacterium. RNAcentral describes it as "partial 16S ribosomal RNA". It matches the Rfam family "Bacterial small subunit ribosomal RNA", at positions 524 to 776 of the family's 1533-position model. The record is from RNAcentral.